Molecule: long non-coding RNA, 788 nt
Organism: Carcharodon carcharias (great white shark)
Lineage: Eukaryota; Metazoa; Chordata; Chondrichthyes; Lamniformes; Lamnidae
Exons: 3
Source: RefSeq, a predicted model, not a curated record
GUGUGAGAAGCAGCGAAAGCCAGGAGUGCCCAGUUUUGCAAAAUAGUGACUUCACAGGAAAGCUGUAAGGUGAUUGGCUGGUUUCUAGCAGCUGCAGUACUUUGCUUUUAUUUUAUCUCAAAAUGGAUGUAGCCCCUGCCCGCUGGAACAGGGCACCUGUAACCAGCCUCGUGGUAUGAUAAGCUGCUGACUUCAAGAUGCCACCCUGGCCAGCAGCUAAUUUGUGGAACAAUUUGUGGAACAAUCUGAAUGCAUGAAGUUCUUGCUGGCUGCAGAGCAGCUGAUGGAAACGGAAGUGGCAGCAUCUGGUUCCACAACUCAAUAAAAGGAAGCUGUGGCAGCCUGAGCUAUAACUGGUUCUGCAUAUCACUUGGAAAGUACUGCUUCAGAGGAACUGCCAGCAGCUUUUAACGAUAAACAGCUCUAACCAUUCACUGCGUAUUAUGCCAACUAAUUUAAGAAAAUAUUUCAUUCCAAAAUUCAGGGAAUAUCAUUUAUAAAUCUCCCCAUAAUGAAAACUAAAGCUGUAUUCCUGUAAUACCCUUCCUAUUGGUGCUAACCCUGGUUCAGUUGGUGGUGCCCUUGCCCCUGCAGCAAGAAGGUUCCGGGUACAAACUCACUCCAGGGACUUAUGAACACAGGCCACAAAAUUGGAUUCCAUGGUGUCUGUUUGUCACAGUUGUCCUUAGGUACAAAAAUGGUGUCCGCAUCACAUGCGCACACUUCUGGCAUGGCCCAGGCCGAACACCAUCUUGUUGAGGGUGUUUGGGUGUUAGGAGGGUGCGCUG